ACAGAGGGUGCAAGCGUUAAUCGGAAUUACUGGGCGUAAAGCGUGCGUAGACGGUAGCGUAAGUCGGGUGUGAAAGCCCCGGGCUCAACCUGGGAACUGCAUCCGAUACUGGUGGACUAGAGUGCGGUAGAGGAUGGCGGAAUUCCCGGUGUAGCGGUGAAAUGCGUAGAGAUCGGGAGGAACAUCCGUGGCGAAGGCGGCCAUCUGGACCAGCACUGACGUUGAGGCACGAAAGCGUGGGGAGCAAACAGGA
This 253-nucleotide ribosomal RNA is filed under the name uncultured prokaryote. RNAcentral describes it as "partial 16S ribosomal RNA". It matches the Rfam family "Bacterial small subunit ribosomal RNA", at positions 525 to 777 of the family's 1533-position model. The record is from RNAcentral.